CCUACGGGGGGCAGCAGUGGGGAAUAUUGGACAAUGGGCGCAAGCCUGAUCCAGCCAUGCCGCGUGAGUGAUGAAGGCCUUAGGGUUGUAAAGCUCUUUCGCCAGGGACGAUAAUGACGGUACCUGGAUAAGAAGCCCCGGCUAACUUCGUGCCAGCAGCCGCGGUAAUACGAAGGGGGCUAGCGUUGUUCGGAUUUACUGGGCGUAAAGCGCACGUAGGCGGAUCUUUAAGUCAGGGGUGAAAUCCCGAGGCUCAACCUCGGAACUGCCUUUGAUACUG
Molecule: ribosomal RNA, 280 nt
Filed under: uncultured Pseudomonadota bacterium
Lineage: Bacteria; Pseudomonadati; Pseudomonadota
Description: uncultured proteobacterium partial 16S ribosomal RNA
Rfam family: Bacterial small subunit ribosomal RNA
Source: RNAcentral